Molecule: non-coding RNA, 107 nt
Organism: Gossypium hirsutum (cotton)
Lineage: Eukaryota; Viridiplantae; Streptophyta; Magnoliopsida; Malvales; Malvaceae
Source: Rfam
AUUCCAGGAUGAGGGCACUUUCAUAAUUACUCUUUGUACCUUUCACAUACCUCAUACAAGGACUCUUCAUCCAUUUGUUGGAAGGCAGUGAUCUCGUUCCUCAACUU